Molecule: ribosomal RNA, 648 nt
Filed under: Lottia jamaicensis
Lineage: Eukaryota; Metazoa; Mollusca; Gastropoda; Lottiidae
Description: partial 16S ribosomal RNA
Rfam family: Bacterial large subunit ribosomal RNA
Source: RNAcentral
GGCCCUCCGCCGUUUAAUCACGGGAGGUCGCACCUGCACAAUGGCUUACGGGUUCAAUUGCCGCGGUAUUUUUGACCGUGCAAAGGUAGCGUAAUCAAUAGCCUGCUAAUUGUUGGCCUGUAUGAAUGGUUUGACGCUGGUGGCGCUGUCUCCAUAGUAUUGAUUUGAAAUUAAUUUCUGGGUGAACAAGCCCAGAUGAGCCUGAAAGACGAUUAGACCCUAUCGAACUUUGGGUAGAUCCGCAGUCUGCGGGGUAAGAUGCCUCGGUGCCUGCGGCUAAGCCUUCGGUUGGGGAAACCGGGGACUAGACAAACCGUCCCCCCCCCUUCAUAGUUUUUAAGUGCAAUAACACCCGUUAUGUUGUGGGUAAAAUGGCUUUACCUUCAGGGCAAUAGGCCUACAGGAAAGUGUUUGCUUAAUCUAUCAAAGAGUCCGACAGGACAUAGGUGACUUAUCAAAUGUUCGCGAAGAAACUCCCUUAGGGAGGACAUCUGUCCAUAGGGAAGAGUUACCGUAGGGAUAACAGCGUGAUCCCCCCAGCUAGUACGUAUUAAUGGGUGGGCUUGCGACCUCGAUGUUGGCUUAGGACAUCCUGGGGGAUGCAGCAACUUCCAAGGGUUGGUCUGUUCGACCAUUAAAGUCCUACAU